This 1445-nucleotide long non-coding RNA is filed under the name Olea europaea subsp. europaea. The record is from RNAcentral. Lineage: Eukaryota; Viridiplantae; Streptophyta; Magnoliopsida; Lamiales; Oleaceae.
UGAAUGAACUCAGGUUUAUAUAUGUGUCGUGCCCACACACUGCGAUGUGCUUUUAGAAACUCUAUUGAGUACCUUAAUGGACUGGAAUAUUGAGCGUAAGUUACUAACUUUGACCGUAGAUAAUUGCACCACAAAUGAUGCAAUGAUCAGUACUGUGUUAAGUCAACUUUGUACUUGUUCUCUUGUGCUGAAUGGUGUUUUUUUCAUAUGAGGUGUUGUGCACAUAUAUUAAAUCUUAUUGUGAAGGAUGGGUUGGACAUUAUUAGUGGUAGUGUUGAGAAAAUUCAUGAUAGUGUUGCUUAUGGGACAGCCAUGCCAAAGAUAUCUGAAAAAUUUGAGCUCUUUGCACAUCAAUUGAAAAUUAAUUGUGAGAAAAAAUUAGUACUUGAUUGUAAAACAAGGUGGAAUUCGACGUAUUUGAUGCUUAGUACUGCUUUGAUUUAUAAGGAUGUUUUUUCGCGUUUGAAACAAAGGGAGUCACGAUAUACAUGUUACCCUAGUGAUGGUGAUUGGGAUUUAGCAAAAGAAAUAUGUGAGAAGUUAAAGGUUUUUUUUUUUUUAGGUUACUGAAUUAUUUUUAGGAACAAAGUAUCCAACUGCUAAUCUCUUCUUUGCAAAUGUUUGUGAUAUCAAACUGUCGUUGUAUGAGUGGCUUGAAUCUCCAUACAUGGAAGUUCAAAUGAUGGUAACCAGUAUGAUGGAAAAGUUCAAUAAGUAUUGGAGCAAUAUUCAUGGAGUUUUGGCUUUAGCAACAGUGCUGGAUCCGAGGUAUAAGAUGAUGUUAGUUAAGUUUUAUUAUCUUUGUAUUUUUAAUCACAAUGCUGCAAGUGAGAUUGACAAAACAUAUCAAGUUUGUGGCAAGUUGGCGCAUGAUUAUCAGAAAAAGAAUGAUUCAAGUGGGUCUAUAUCUCAGUCUUCUACUUCUUCUUGUCAAACCGAGAUGUCAAGUGCUAAGAAUAAAUCAGAUCGUAUGGUGGAUUUUUAUAAGUUUGUUUCUAAUGUUGAAGCUCCUAGUAGUGUGAAAACUGAGCUUGAUACUUUUUUGGAUGAGCCUAUAUUGCCUCAGUCGGAUGAUUUUGAUAUAUUGACAUGGUGGAAAGUGGAUUCAAUCAAAUAUCCGACUUUAGCUCUUAUUGCAAAAGCUAUUUUAGCCAUCCCGGUAUCUACUGUGGCAUCCGAAACUGCUUUCAGUACUAGUGGUAGAUUUGUUAGUCCACACAGAAAUUGACUUCACCCCAAAACUUUGGAGGCUUACAUGUGUGCUCAAGAUUGGUUAUGGACCGAUAUUCACGAUACGAUGUAUAUAAAUAUUUGCUUUUUAUAUUGUUUCUUUUAUGAAUUUUCUUAUUACUAAUUAUUUUAUUUUAUUAAUAGGAAAUUCUGCACCGUCUGCAUAUUUUGGAAGUUGCUCCAUGGUGAAUGAUGAGGAUGUUGAUGAGGAGGUA